Molecule: ribosomal RNA, 253 nt
Filed under: uncultured bacterium
Lineage: Bacteria
Description: partial 16S ribosomal RNA
Rfam family: Bacterial small subunit ribosomal RNA
Source: RNAcentral
UACGUAGGCAGCAAGCGUUGUUCGGAGUUACUGGGCGUAAAGGGUGUGUAGGCGGUUAUUUAAGUUUGGUGUGAAAUCUCCCGGCUCAACCGGGAGGGUGCGCCGAAUACUGAAUGACUUGGAGUGCGGGAGAGGAAAGUGGAAUUCCUGGUGUAGCGGUGAAAUGCGUAGAUAUCAGGAGGAACACCGGUGGUGUAGACGGCUUCUGGACCGUAACUGACGCUGAGACACGAAAGCGUGGGUAGCAAACAGG